GCUUACGGCCAUACCAGCCUGGUACGCCCGAUCUCGUCUGAUCUCGGAAGCUAAGCAGGGUCGGGCCUGGUUAGUACUUGGAUGGGAGACCGCCUGGGAAUACCAGGUGCUGUAAGCA
Molecule: ribosomal RNA, 118 nt
Filed under: Salmo salar (Atlantic salmon)
Lineage: Eukaryota; Metazoa; Chordata; Actinopteri; Salmoniformes; Salmonidae
Source: RNAcentral